CCCUACUAUAAUUGAUAAAAGCAAGGAUUUUUCAAUGUUUAUAUCAAGAAUAACAAACUUUUGAAAUAUUGCAGUUGGAACUUCUGUUUUAGACAUUGAAAGCAAAGUGGCUCAAAGUCUACAUUCGAUGGCAAUAAUUCAAACAACAUGUACAUGACGGUCAUUAUAAAGAAGACAGUCUGUUGAUGUACAUGUUCAUGUAACACUAAUUAUGUCAGAAGGACCAGCAAAAUACUAUACCCCAAGGGUAGCGAACUGCACACGUCCAGAGGCCCGUGUUAAUGCAGUCAGAAGUAGGGGCAAUAAGCCUGAUUGGUUUUCUCAUGACCCAAGUCGCCCGGAAGCUGGAGAAAAUCCAUUCAUUCCCCGAGGAAGAGGACAAAGACCCGAGGGAGGUCGAGUCUCAGAUAAGUUUCGCAAACAGAAACCAGAUUGGUUCCAACAUGAUCCAUCGCGGACUGAUAUUAGCAAAUCUCCUGUAGGGAGGGGCAAAAAUGAAGAAGCAGUUGGAAUCAAAACAAAAAUAUAUGGGGACCAAGAAUCCUGGUAUAAACAUGAUGAAAAUAGGAAUUAUAGUCCUCCAAAGAAACCUCUUCGUGUUACUGCAGUUGGUGCCGAACAAAACGCAAUAAAAAAUAAACCUAUGGGUGACGUUAAUUGGUAUAAACAUGAUGGCUCAAAUGUUGCUCCAUAUCAGAAGCCACCAGAAAAGGGUACCGACCCUCGUUUGAAAGAAAAUGCUACUAAUUUCAAGAAUCGAAAAUCUGAUUGGUUUGAGCAUGACCCUAACAAUGACUACCAUGAUCCUAUCCCCCCUCCCAGGGUAUCCUCCCCAGAGGCAACCUCAAAUGCCCAAAAGCUACGGGGCAACACCCCUAUAUGGUAUAAUGCAGAUGAGAACUAUGGAUACUCAUCACCAAAACCUGCCCCGAGAUUAGCAACAGAGGCAGCUGAGGGUAUCGCAGAGAAAAACAGAGGCACAAUGGAUAAAUGGCUCAAGCCCGAUGACAGCCGAAAUUAUGAAACGGAUCGCCCUCAAGCUCGAGUUAAGCCUGAGGCUGAGUCAAUCGCUACACGCAAUCGUGGCCAGAUGGGUGCUUUAUUGGAUCAUAAAGGUGGCAGCAGAAUGGACCAGUCCUACGCAAGAGCAGUUAAACCUGAAGCUUUGGGUAAUGCUGUGAAAAGUCGUGGCAAUAUGGAUAAAACAUUAAAUCAGGAUGACAAUUGGGGAUAUGAAUCUGCCAAACCAGCAGCUAGGGUUAAACCUGAAGCUGAAGAGAUUGCAAGGAGAAACAAAGGUGUAAUGAAUGAAACAUUAGCAGUUGAUGCUUACCCAAGUGCCCCUAUGAAGCAAAAGCCUAAAGGAAGAGCUGUUAAGUCAGAGGCACAAGAAACGUCAAUUGCAAAUAAAGGCAAUAGGACUAAAGAGCUAAUAGGAGAAUAUGGCAAUCUUGGACUCUCCGUUCGACCUAUUCCAAGGAUUAAACCAGAGGCAGAGGAAUUCGCAAAUAAACAUAAGCCAACAGUGCAGAACUUAUUCCAUAGUUAUGGCGCAUUGCCAAUAUCUGGUCGCCCUGUACCAAGAGUGAAAAAUGAGGCACAAGACUUUGCAAACAAAAACAAUAUGUCAUCGGCUGAUAAGGCUAUGUAUAAUAAAAAAUCAUCCCGUAAGACUGCCUGGGAAUGACCUGGUCCAUGGUCAGUCAAAAGAUUUAGAGUGAUUUACAACUGGUAUAAAGUCUCAGGAUUGCUCUUUAUAUUCCCAUGUUACCCUUUGUGCUUUCCCAAUUCAAAUAAGUGAUCUCCACAGCAUUUUUUCUCAAGUGGGUGCAAAAUUCUCAUUUUCACAAUUCAGACAAAAUUUGGUCAAAAUAUGCCAAUUUUUCAUGAUUUUUCUCAUUUUCAAGUGGGUGCAAAUGGAUUUUCAGGUGGGUGCGAGCCUAUUUUCAAAAUUUCAGGUGGGUGCCGUGCCCACUUGCUUUAAUGCUGGGGAGAUCACU
Molecule: unclassified non-coding RNA, 2000 nt
Filed under: Owenia fusiformis
Lineage: Eukaryota; Metazoa; Annelida; Polychaeta; Sabellida; Oweniidae
Description: misc RNA OFUS_LOCUS4954
Source: RNAcentral